AAGCUUGCUAGUUGUAAUAACCGCAGUGUUAAGUCUUUACACUACAAAUAGUAGGGACUUAUAUUUUGGUCAUUAUAACCAAUAUGUCAUUAUAAAUGAUGUUGUUU
This is a long non-coding RNA of Maniola jurtina (meadow brown), 107 nucleotides long. RefSeq lists it as uncharacterized. The transcript is spliced from 3 exons. The record is from RefSeq and is a predicted model, not a curated record. Lineage: Eukaryota; Metazoa; Arthropoda; Insecta; Lepidoptera; Nymphalidae.